UUGUUUGAUGAUUGUAAGUGCAGUUCGACGCUGAAAUCUGCACAGCGGUCGGGCUCACACAUGUGUUUAUUAAAAUGCCGUCUAAGUACACCAGGCUGGAUCAGUGGUUAUUUUUAGAUUCCCUCUCUCAAUAUUUUUGAACCUUAACAUUUGGGGGCUCGUUCCGGUGAGAGAGAGGGAGUUUUGGUGUAGAUGGAGAGAUCCGGGGUCCGUGGUGAUUAGAUGGGCAGAUACGAGUCAGUGGUCUGAAGUGAGAGACAAGCCGGCUUAAACAAAGGUAAGGCACAUACCUGUUGAAUUUCCAAAAUGUGCUAGAAUUGGAUAUGACAAAAUUGAAGUCUACUCACUGAAAAUUACUGGUGAAUGUCUGUUUUGAGUUUGCUGAAAUUUUUAUGAGGUUUACCGGUUGAAGUAAUGAUAAUGAAGUAUAAGUGACAGUACUGAGUAAUGAGAAUGAAAGAAUGAAAAGAGAAUUAAAGCAGUUGGACUGCUAAGUGAAGCUUAGAAUGAUAGGUAAUUGGCAUGUCUGUGAAUAUGCAGUGUUGAUUGACUAUAAAGCUGGGCUUGGACAUCAAUAAGAUUACUUGUGAUCUUAGGUGGUGUUUUCAGAACUUUGAUUAAAUUAUCUUAGGACGGGAGCAGGGCUCCUAGGACUGCACCAAGUUCAGGGGUGGGAACCCCCUCCCUUUUCCAGAUGUGGGAAAGGGUCCUCCGGCGUGAGGGUAUCCCAGGUGGCCACUGCCAAUGACUUGGGACCAUUGGUUUAAAAUAGCCCCUGGUAGUUGACCAGGUUGUCGUCGGGGACGGCAUUGUGCAGUUUUUGGUCAGUAGAAACCCGGUUUCGGGCGUGUAACUUUAACUUAAAACUUCGGGGAAGCCGGGGAUGUGAAAUGCCCAAAAAUAGAGCUUCAGGCAGAGUCUGGGUUGGUUCACGCUUUUAAAUUCUGUUAGGGCACUAGCAAUCGGGCCACCGUCGGGGACGGGACAAUGGCUAAAUUGGUCGCAAAAAACUCAGGGAGUUUUCCGCAGGGCGGUUAUUAUUAAAUUUGUCGAAAUUCGGUAGGUGUUUUAAAGGCCUAAAAAUCUGUGCAGUGUAAAUAUAAAGACGUCUUGUGUAAAUAUAAUAAUAUGAGAUCUAUGUGGGAGAUCCGUCUCUGCACCACCAGUGCACUACCGGAUGUGCACUGAUGGUGUGUUCAUGUAAAUGAGCAGCGGUGACGCGCAGAGAGGGUGGUUUCAGUUUCGAGUGUACUGAGCUUUAUAACUAUUGUUUGAAAAUAUUGCUAAAUGCCUGUAUUUAAGGGGCUGGUUUUGCUUAUUACGAGAGUAUAAAGAGAGUGUGAAUUCAUUAGUGUGGAUGUAUGGUAAUGACUGAAUUUUGAUAGAUGUAUAUAUCUUGAGCCAUAAAUGCUGGUGUGUUUUGUCUUCAGUUAUGUGUGUGUGUGGUGAGAAGCUGCGAGGAUGAUGAGAGGUUUCAGUUUUCUUUUUCUUUUUUCUUUUUGACUUGCUCUUUCUGAUUAUGGAAGGCAUGUCCAAACUACGCACAUGAAAGCGUAUUUUGUGUGAUUUUAACUGUGUGAAUGCUGUCAGUAUUUGAUUUGAGUGACUCUGCGUGAGUUGUCUGAGUGAGAGAAAAGGCAGUGUGUGUGAGACGAUGGAUGGCGUCUGAAAGAGGUUAGAACCUUUAAAAGUGUGUAUGAAAGAAAGGAGUGUGAAAUAUAUUUCUUUUGUGAUGUAAAGUAGGAUGUUCUAAAGUUUGAAAGUGCUUUUAAUUCAAGAAAUGCAUGAGUGAUGGUAUGAGAGGUUGAGUUUCUUUUUCUCUCAGUUCAAAAACACAUAAGUAUAUACACUGGUUAAUUGUUGGGAUGUUUGAAAGAGCUCUAUUUAAAUGUGUGUGAGUGAAAUGAAGGUGUAUUGUUUUUAGAUUAAGAUUUAGUAGAAUUACUGAUUGUUUUUAGACUAUAAAUACAAAGAAAGAGGAAGUCUGAGAGAAGUGUGUGCGUAGCCAAACUGGAGAGUGUGUGCUUGAAACAGGAAGUCUGAUUAUAGCUUGUGAGUUAGAGAGACAUUGCAACAUGAAAACAGAGCAAUUAGAGACUGAAUGUCUUAAGAAAAGUAAUAAAAUAUAUUAAUUACAUGUUUUAGAAAAGAGAAAAAUCGAGAAAAUAAAUACAUGAACUAACAAUUACAUUAAUGAAUUGAAAACGCACGUACACGAAUUGUUAUAUGUGAAAUUAUUGUUGGAAAGUUUAAUACACACAUGAAAUAAAGAAAGCAGUUUACACUCCUUUAAUUUCCAGAACCAGUGUGUCCCCUAGACCUGAUAACACCCUUGCCCAGUUGGCCCCCGUAUAAGGCAGCAUGGAAGGCUGGACAGCCCAUGACGGGUAAGAUCCCACCUCGAAACCCUGGGACAACCUAAGGCAAGGCGCAGUCACGAUUGCUUGAACCUGGGUCCCUAAGUGAGCUUGGAGUCACUGGAGGAGACGGGACUUGACGGGUAAAGCCGCUGGGCACAGGCGAGGGGAAAUGUCAUUAACAGUGACCAGUGAUGAGCCAGAGAGAGAAAACACACCCUGUCAAAAGGAGUCUGAAACACUGCAAAAGAAACAUUUACAAGAUCACAAAGAUCACAAAGAAACAUUUAUAAAAAUCACACAUACAAACAGAAAAUGCACUAACCUUACAGAGAUAAGCUCAUGAAGAUUAAUGCAUAGAUAGUGAUUAAAACCUGGCUAAGAACACAAACAUAUGUAAUUAAAUCAGCUUGCUAAUUUCAUGAGUGUUAAAAUGGUGUGAAUGUUGAAGAAAAUACACUUAAAACACACUUGGAUAAAAUAGAGUUGUGGAAUAACUCAAAAGAAGCUGCAUGACAAGGGAGUGAGUUAUGGAAAAAAAACAAAAAAACAAACAAAAGAGAAGUGAUUAAAGUAGUUUAAAAAGGUGACUUAGGAGUGCUCUUGCACUGAUUGAUAAAAGUAAGUGAUUAGGAUAGAAAGAAAAUGAAAAUAAUUCAAUAAUGUGAUAAGGUUUAAACAUGUAUUUCUCUUGUCAAGUUGACUUGCUGAGAGGAGCCACUAUGCAAAUUAGCUGGAGCAAAGACACUUCCUGUGUGCGUGUGUGUCGGAGGCUUUCAGUUCAAGAGAGAGCGGUGGCUGUUGAAGAUUAUUUGGCGAAAUAUAUAAGGGCCUGGAAGAGAGUGAACUGACGGCGCUGACAAAAUUAUCAAGUACGAAAAUCAGGUGGGCUUUACCGAUUAUAAAUUGGCUGAAAAGGAGACCUAAUUGGCGGUGAGUCUCUGUUUAAUUUUAGGAUUGCAGCGAGUCAAUCCAGUCAAAGGUAUAGAGAACUAUUUUCCUAAAAAGGAAAACGAAAUAAAACAAAUGAUUGAGCUCAUUUUGCUGAUGUGGAGCAUCUGAUGACGUGUGCAGAAGGCUGCAGUAUCAGCAAAAAGAUCGUGUGUGAAUGCAUGUGAGUGAAUGCGAGUGAUGGGACCAAGGGGGGAAAUAAAUGAAAGGACAAGUGGGAGACUUAAAUCUGGGGAUGCUGAUUUUGGGAUGUUGAUGUUUACUUUGAGGUAAUUAUUUACUGGGGUUGGAUUAUGUUAUUACAUUAUAUUGUUGGGAGAAUGCUGAAUGCUAAAAGGGAAACAGGGUUUGAUGAAAUUCAAGUUACCAUUAACUGGGGUAACUCAUGAUUAAUAACUGUUCUGUUUAAGUUUAUUUUUUGUUAUGACAUAGACGGGAUCAAAAAGGGAAAGUUGAGUAUGAAAUGUAAACUACAGGUUUUGUUUCCAGGAAAUUCCAAGGAUCCAGAGUUCGAUGGAGCAACGAGUUUGAGAAGAUUUGACAUGAUGAUUAAAUUGAUUUUAUUCCUUAAAUACAGGUUUUCAGGGCGGGAGCAAAAUACCGGAGAAGAUGGCUGAAGUGUUCUGAGAAAUGUUAUGACUAACCUUUUUUCCCUUUUAAUUUCCUAAGCUUGGGUGAAGCAUUUUGAGUUUUUUGCCACAUGAGAUGUGUCAAAAAAGAGAGGGGUUUAAGAUUUAAUUUGUUUAAUUUGAAAUGGGUUUUAGUAUGAUUUUAUAACUAUUGGGGUUGUUUGAUAAUCUAGAUAUAGUAAAACUGAGGCAGUGAAUGUUAUUUUUUUUAAAG
Long non-coding RNA from Oreochromis aureus, 4151 nucleotides. The record is from Ensembl. Lineage: Eukaryota; Metazoa; Chordata; Actinopteri; Cichliformes; Cichlidae.